GGGCCUACAGUUGGGACCUACGAGGCCUGGGCUGAACCUUCGCCCUUGUCUGUAAUACAAAAUGCUAUCAAAAUCAAAUGCAUGAUUUCAUAAAUUUUCAAUUCAGGGCCAAGUUCAACCCUGCUUCAGCUAGCAGAGUUAAAUUUCAACCCCAUGCAGGUUGGACUUCGCCUUGGGUUGAAAAUUUUAUCAUGUAAUCGUUUCAACCCAGGGCUGAAAUUAUUCAUGAGUUACUCAAGCAUUUGAUGAGGCUGGUUUUUGUUUUCACUUCUAGGAAUGUAUAGUAUUUCAACCCUGGGGAUGAGAUUGUCCAUGUAAUCGCAAAAUAUUCAACCCAGUUAUGUAAACAUGGUUGAGUUCAAACCUGUGGUUAAAAGUGCUCCAUGUAAUCGUCCCCUUAGUGUGGUGUGAUCUGCCUACUGUGAGGCAGGGCUGUACUGAAUGGUGGCAGAUUACCAUAAUCAAAUCACUUCUAUUUCGACCAGCCAAGAAGGUUUAAUUAAAAACAAUAUACAAUAAUUAUUGUAUAAUAUAUGAUAAAAUUAUUGAAUUAUGGAAACAGUGUUCUGAACUUCUGACAAUCUUUAACAAUUAAGAAGUUUAUCAAGUUUUAUAUGUUAUCGCAUCCCCUUUCUCAAUCACUCAAUGCCUUUUCGUUGACUGCCUUUCAUUAAUUAAUGCUAUACUUUAAAGAUGCGGUACAGUCCGUAUGUAAACAAAGGCUUUGUUUACAUUUCGGUAUCCAAAAUAUUGAAUUUUAUUUCACAACUAGUUAUAUUUUCAUGAUUCUAGAAAUUAUCAAGAGACAACAAUCAAGCUUUGCAAGAACAUAAAAUGAAAUAAAAACCUAAAUAAACUGUUUGUAAAUAAAAAGAGGGCUCCUUUGUGCACAUGCACAGAUUGGACUGUACCGCAUCUUUAAUAGUAAUAAAGUCUCUGGUGUAGGAAAAUGCUCCGACUGUUAAAUAAAGUUUAACUAUAUUUUCCGUACAGUUUCUGUGCAGAGCUCGAGGGUUGAACUUCACGAAAAAUCACAGCAUUUUCCAACAAUGCCGACAUUUUGCUGGUGUAGUGUUUUAUAAAAAUCCGAUCAAAUAUGCUCAGGAAUAUAUUUGCUACUUUAUAGUUCUCACAAUUUUAUAGCUGCUCACACAAACGAGGAAUCAAGCCGUAUAAAAACAUUCUAAAAGUUUAUCUUGAUUGUUCCUUGGACAGAAUGUUGUGUAAAGUGGCCAUGCAAAGCAUCGAACAAAGCAUCAGUGGAGGAAACAGUAGCCAAACUGACCUGAAUCGAUGUAAUAUAAUCAAACCACGUCCUCUAAUAGUCAACGCAGCACGAGUUUUGUCUCUCCCUUUUAUAGACUUGCACACUAAUAUCUCUCACUGACUAAAAGGAAAAACCCUCUCGCCAUCAAUUUCUUGUAUAGCUUCGGUGAAUUCAGCGUCUGUUUCGUCUAACUGUAUUCCCGUUAGAGCAACAGACACAUCAACGUUGUAUAAAUCCUCUGCGGUUGCAUCGUCUUGCGAUAAAUGUCUUCGUCCUCUUAUGCCUCGAUCAUAAACUGUUCACGACGCUCGCUUUCUUCGAUAUUUUCAUCUCCAACGUUCAAAAUAGGUUCGUAUGUUUGUUGGCUUUCUGUUUCAAUUUCCACCUUGAUCUCAGAAGCCCUAUAGCGUUUUGAAAUAUGAUCUUUUGUUGGCAUAUUAUGUUCUCGCCCAUAUGUUUUCCUAAUCACUCAUCACAAAGCACCCCCUUUCCUCGUCACGUGACACAAAUAAAAGUGGUUCUCGACAUAAUUUGCCGCUUCCUUUGAAGUUUGCCGGCUAGCCUAACCAUCUAAUUCUAUUAACCGUG
RNAcentral lists this long non-coding RNA (1855 nucleotides) under Paramuricea clavata. Lineage: Eukaryota; Metazoa; Cnidaria; Anthozoa; Malacalcyonacea; Plexauridae. The record is from RNAcentral.